UGGGGAAUAUUGCACAAUGGAGGGAACUCUGAUGCAGCGACGCCGCGUGCGUGAUGAAGGAAUUCGUUUCGUAAAACUCUGUUCUAUGGGAAGAAAAGGACUGUACCAUAGGAGAAAGCUCCGGCUAAAUACGUGCCAGCAGCCGCGGUAAUACGUAUGGAGCGAGCGUUGUCCGGAAUUAUUGGGCGUAAAGGGUGCGCAGGCGGCUUUACAAGUUGGAUGUGAAAUAUUGUGGCUCAACCACAAACGUGCAUCCAAAACUGCAAAGCUUGAGUUAAGGAGAGGUAAGUGGAAUUCCUGGUGUAGCGGUGGAAUGCGUAGAUAUCAGGAGGAAUACCGGUGGCGAAGGCGACUUACUGGACUUAAACUGACGCUCAGGCACGAAAGCGUGGGGAGAAAACAGG
Molecule: ribosomal RNA, 404 nt
Filed under: Fusobacteriota bacterium
Lineage: Bacteria; Fusobacteriati; Fusobacteriota
Description: Fusobacteria bacterium partial 16S ribosomal RNA
Rfam family: Bacterial small subunit ribosomal RNA
Source: RNAcentral